UUACAGCCACAUCAAAGUUGUAACACCGGUCAACAUACGAUCACCGAAGUAAAGCAACGUCGAGCCUGGCCAGUACCUAGAUGGGUGACUGCUUUGGAAUAACAGGCGCC
This is a non-coding RNA of Acanthosepion pharaonis, 110 nucleotides long. NCBI's taxonomy places the organism in Eukaryota, Metazoa, Mollusca, Cephalopoda, Sepiida, Sepiidae. The record is from the annotation of a GenBank genome assembly.